RNAcentral lists this ribosomal RNA (468 nucleotides) under uncultured bacterium. Its description in RNAcentral is "partial 16S ribosomal RNA". It matches the Rfam family "Bacterial small subunit ribosomal RNA", at positions 28 to 507 of the family's 1533-position model. The record is from RNAcentral.
GGCGAACGCUGGCGGCGUGCUUAACACAUGCAAGUCGAACGGAAAGGCCCUGCUUUUGUGGGGUGCUCGAGUGGCGAACGGGUGAGUAACACGUGAGUAACCUGCCCUUGACUUUGGGAUAACUUCAGGAAACUGGGGCUAAUACCGGAUAGGAGCUCCUGCUGCAUGGUGGGGGUCGGAAAGUUUCGGCGGUUGGGGAUGGACUCGCGGCUUAUCAGCUUGUUGGUGGGGUAGUGGCUUACCAAGGCUUUGACGGGUAGCCGGCCUGAGAGGGUGACCGGCCACAUUGGGACUGAGAUACGGCCCAGACUCCUACGGGAGGCAGCAGUGGGGAAUAUUGCACAAUGGGCGGAAGCCUGAUGCAGCAACGCCGCGUGCGGGAUGACGGCCUUCGGGUUGUAAACCGCUUUCGCCUGUGACGAAGCGUGAGUGACGGUAAUGGGUAAAGAAGCACCGGCUAACUACGUG